RNAcentral lists this ribosomal RNA (781 nucleotides) under uncultured Pseudomonadota bacterium. Its description in RNAcentral is "bacterial SSU rRNA". It matches the Rfam family "Bacterial small subunit ribosomal RNA", at positions 563 to 1344 of the family's 1533-position model. Lineage: Bacteria; Pseudomonadati; Pseudomonadota. The record is from RNAcentral.
AAGCGCACGCAGGCGGUCUGUCAAGUCGGAUGUGAAAUCCCCGGGCUCAACCUGGGAACUGCAUUCGAAACUGGCAGGCUAGGGUCUUGUAGAGGGGGGUAGAAUUCCAGGUGUAGCGGUGAAAUGCGUAGAGAUCUGGAGGAAUACCGGUGGCGAAGGCGGCCCCCUGGACAAAGACUGACGCUCAGGUGCGAAAGCGUGGGGAGCAAACAGGAUUAGAUACCCUGGUAGUCCACGCCGUAAACGAUGUCGACUUGGAGGUUGUUCCCUUGAGGAGUGGCUUCCGGAGCUAACGCGUUAAGUCGACCGCCUGGGGAGUACGGCCGCAAGGUUAAAACUCAAAUGAAUUGACGGGGGCCCGCACAAGCGGUGGAGCAUGUGGUUUAAUUCGAUGCAACGCGAAGAACCUUACCUACUCUUGACAUCCAGAGAAUUUAGCAGAGAUGCUUUAGUGCCUUCGGGAACUCUGAGACAGGUGCUGCAUGGCUGUCGUCAGCUCGUGUUGUGAAAUGUUGGGUUAAGUCCCGCAACGAGCGCAACCCUUAUCCUUUGUUGCCAGCGGUUCGGCCGGGAACUCAAAGGAGACUGCCAGUGAUAAACUGGAGGAAGGUGGGGAUGACGUCAAGUCGUCAUGGCCCUUACGAGUAGGGCUACACACGUGCUACAAUGGCAUAUACAAAGAGAAGCGACCUCGCGAGAGCAAGCGGACCUCAUAAAGUAUGUCGUAGUCCGGAUCGGAGUCUGCAACUCGACUCCGUGAAGUCGGAAUCGCUAGUAAUCG